GAUCAUGGCUCAGGACGAACGCUGGCGGCGCGCCUAACACAUGCAAGUCGAACGGAGCUUAGAGAGCUUGCUUUUUAAGCUUAGUGGCGAACGGGUGAGUAACGCGUGAGUAACCUGCCCUAGAGUGGGGGACAACAGUUUGGAAACGACUGCUAAUACCGCAUAAGCCCACGGUACCGCAUGGUACUGAGGGAAAAAGGAUUUAUUCGCUUUAGGAUGGACUCGCGUCCAAUUAGCUAGUUGGUGAGGUAACGG
This 255-nucleotide ribosomal RNA is filed under the name uncultured bacterium. RNAcentral describes it as "partial 16S ribosomal RNA". It matches the Rfam family "Bacterial small subunit ribosomal RNA", at positions 15 to 263 of the family's 1533-position model. The record is from RNAcentral.